RNAcentral lists this ribosomal RNA (217 nucleotides) under uncultured bacterium. Its description in RNAcentral is "partial 16S ribosomal RNA". It matches the Rfam family "Bacterial small subunit ribosomal RNA", at positions 1275 to 1500 of the family's 1533-position model. The record is from RNAcentral.
UCGAAAGCCUGUCUCAGUUCGGAUUGGAGGCUGAAACCGCCCCCAUGAAGUUGGAUUCGCUAGUAAUCGCGCAUCAGCCAUGGCGCGGUGAAUACGUUCCCGGGCCUUGUACACACCGCCCGUCAAGCCAUGGGAGCCGGGGGUGCCUGAAGUUCGUGACCGCAAGGAGCGACCUAGGGCAAAACUGGUGACUGGGGCUAAGUCGUAACAAGGUAUC